CCUACGGGGAGCUGCAGUGGGGAAUAUUGGGCAAUGGGCGCAAGCCUGACCCAGCAACGCCGCGUGAAGGAAGAAGGCUUUCGGGUUGUAAACUUCUUUUCUCAGGGACGAAGAAAGUGACGGUACCUGAGGAAUAAGCCACGGCUAACUACGUGCCAGCAGCCGCGGUAAUACGUAGGUGGCAAGCGUUAUCCGGAUUUACUGGGUGUAAAGGGCGUGUAGGCGGGAAAGCAAGUCAGAUGUGAAAACCAUGGGCUCAACCUGUGGCCUGCAUUUGAAACUGUUUUUCUUGAGUACUGGGGAGGCAGACGGAAUUCCUAGUGUAGCGGUGAAAUGCGUAGAUAUUAGGAGGAACACCAGUGGCGAAGGCGGUCUGCUGGACAGCAACUGACGCUGAGGCGCGAAAGCGUGGGGAGCAAACAGGAUUAGAUACCCGUGUAGUC
Molecule: ribosomal RNA, 443 nt
Filed under: uncultured bacterium
Lineage: Bacteria
Description: partial 16S ribosomal RNA
Rfam family: Bacterial small subunit ribosomal RNA
Source: RNAcentral